CGCUUUUGUGUUUUUUGUUUUUAUAUAUUUUUAUUAUUUAUUUGAAGUCUCUUUCCUUUUCAGUUUCCCUGAUUUGUUUAUGUGUGUGCGUUUAUAAUUUAAUUGAAUAAAAAAAAGAAGGAUUUAAAAAAAGAAAAUAAAAAUUCCUUAGAAUUCUCCGUUCAAUGUUCGAUCUUCUCGUGUCAGAAGGAGGAGUUGUUUCCCAUCCCUUUGAAGUUUCUCUUUCUAUCUCUAGCAAAAUAAGAUUUUAGGAUAUUUUUUGGGUGCUACGUCGUUUGGUUAGCACCACAACAAAGUCCAAGUGUGUUUGAUGUGUUGUGUCUAUACUCUCGGGGAUGUCCCCUUGCCCCUUGCUAAUUCGGGAGCGCACACAGAUUUUUCAUUGCUGUCCAACUUCGAUUGCCUUCACCUUUUCAAACUCGAUCACCUCCACCGUAUUCAAAAUCAAUUGCCUCGGUUGUUCUUACAAUAUUCAAAGUCAUCAAUUGUCAUCAACAGUUCAAUCUUGAUUGCCUCUUUCAACCUACUCACUUAUGUCAUCAAUCAUCACCCACCAUCAUCAAUUUGUUCAUCUCCACCAUCAUCAAUCGUUCGUGUUGCUAGUUACAACUCACUAUUGUGACAAUCUGGUAUUACUUUUCAUUUGUUUACUUCUAUGGUUGUUGAUGUUGCUAGACAAUCUCAUGUUUCUUUGACAUGCAUGUCUUAUGGUUGAGGGGAAAAACAAUAGUAUAUAUGUUAGGGAUGAAAUGGAGCUAAUUGGAGAAUUGAAUGAUAUUUUGAUAGGAUAUUAUGUUAGAUAACAUGUUGUUCUACUACUCUUAUGAAUGAAAAACACUUUAUAAUAGAAAAA
This is a non-coding RNA of Cicer arietinum (chickpea), 853 nucleotides long. The record is from RefSeq and is a predicted model, not a curated record. NCBI's taxonomy places the organism in Eukaryota, Viridiplantae, Streptophyta, Magnoliopsida, Fabales, Fabaceae.